Molecule: long non-coding RNA, 305 nt
Filed under: Gallus gallus (chicken)
Lineage: Eukaryota; Metazoa; Chordata; Aves; Galliformes; Phasianidae
Source: RNAcentral
UACUGAGAAGAGCUUACCAACUUCACCUAUCUCCAAAAGCAAGCUUGUCACAGCAGCAGUAGCAUGGUACAGAUCUUGUUCGUUGGGGUCUUCACUGAACAUGUUAUACAUUGUCUUGCACAGUUCAAUGAACUGUCCCUGGUUCAGCUUGGGCAAAUCCUUUGAGUUUUUUGCUUUGGAUUUAUUCUCUUGGCUCCACAUUCUCAGAUAAUUUCGAUUCUCUUGUGAACUCUUCUUGCCUUUGUCUGUUUUCAGACUCACUGUAACAAAUCCAUCAUCUACUCCUUGUUUGUUCCUGCUGUCCA